CCUACGGGAGGCAGCAGUGGGGAAUUUUGCGCAAUGGGGGAAACCCUGACGCAGCAACGCCGCGUGGAGGAUGAAGUCCCUUGGGAUGUAAACUCCUUUCGAUCGGGACGAUUAUGACGGUACCGGAAGAAGAAGCACCGGCUAACUCUGUGCCAGCAGCCGCGGUAAU
Molecule: ribosomal RNA, 169 nt
Filed under: uncultured bacterium
Lineage: Bacteria
Also listed under: 1 other name
Description: partial 16S ribosomal RNA
Rfam family: Bacterial small subunit ribosomal RNA
Source: RNAcentral